Long non-coding RNA from Oreochromis aureus, 1148 nucleotides. The record is from Ensembl. Lineage: Eukaryota; Metazoa; Chordata; Actinopteri; Cichliformes; Cichlidae.
AAGGAGACAAACAGUAACAACAUGUUAAUAACUGGAUUCAAAAACUCUGAAGAAGCAUCUUCAGGUUUGUGCUGAGGACUGAAAGAAACAGAUAAAGUUUGCAGACUGACAGCUGAGCAUGCGUGUAAAACGUGAUCCUUUCUGCUCAAACACUGAAUCUGCUGCACAGAUUUUCUCAGACAGAAGAGCCUCACUGAGCUCCAACAGCGUUAUUUCACCUGAUCUGGACCUCAGCUGGUGUUGGACUGAGUCUGUGUGCAGACCAGAGAGAACGGCAUCAACCAAACCAGGAAACACAGGAAAGAGCCAGAGUUCCUGCAGCCACACAGAUGUGUCAUCACUGAUGCCUGUGCUCUGCUGGAGUCUUCUCUAACACUGGAUGCAUUUAUAAGGACAACAACAUCCUGCCUAAAAUAAACUAAUGCAGGUGAACAAGAAUUUUGAGGAGCGUAUCAGGUCACAUUUCACUGCCUGUUGUACUCGUAUAACUAUGCACGUGCCAAAUAAAGAAUCUUGAAACUUGAAUUUUUGUUGUCAUGUUUUGGAAUUAGUUCUGCUGUUUCCAUCAUUUCCUUUCUGUUUUUUGUUAGUCUUCUUCACUUGUUCUCAGCCGGUCCCUCGCUAUGGACACUCACCAGUUUCCUCCUGUCUCUGUUCUUUGUUCUCACUCAGGUCAUGAUGUCCACUGUGGCGUCUUCUCAGUGAUUUUGUGGUGUAAGUUUGUGUUUGCUGUCUUGAUGCAUGUUCAAUCGUCCAGGUACAGAAAUCCCAGAAAGUUGAUUCUGUUCAUGUGGAAGUAGAGAAACUUUUCAUCACUUAUCCAAGUGACUCCUUCAGUCUGCAGGUUGGAUGUUACAUAUUUAUGAUCAUGAAACUGACCUGACUGUUAGUCAGAGGUGCUUGUGUCAGUCCUGAUGUAAAUGUGCUGUUAAUAAGGUUGGAGAGCUGCAGGCAGCUGAGGCUGAAGUUGGAUGAAGGAUGAAACGUUGGUCCAUCCAGACCAACAGAAUCAAAUUUCUGGAGUUUGUGUUUGAUGGUUUCGGUUUUUCUGUUGUUUCUAUUGUUGCUAGUUUAUUCUCUUUGUUGCUGAACUUUGCCUGAUUUUAUUUUAUGUCUUUAUUUGCAAUAAACUGUAAUAAAUUUGUGGA